Non-coding RNA from Hydra vulgaris (swiftwater hydra), 478 nucleotides. The record is from RefSeq and is a predicted model, not a curated record. NCBI's taxonomy places the organism in Eukaryota, Metazoa, Cnidaria, Hydrozoa, Anthoathecata, Hydridae.
GAUAGUCGAUUCUACAUCAAGGCAUAUGCGUCACUACCUCGGUAUAAAUGCGCAAUACUCGAACAAUGAUGAAAUUGCUGUGAUCAAUCUUGACAUCAUUGAUACGAAGGGAAAACAAACAACGGAAUACCGACGGAAUACACAAAAAAAUUAUUGAGAAGUGUUUAGAUAAUAUUGGAAUCAAUAAAACUAAUAUUUAAGGCCUUAUUGUUGACAACGCAGCAGUGAAUAUAAAGUUGAUGCGCGACUUUGGCAUCAGCACCGUUUAGGAAACUGUAGAUAACGAAGACGAUUUUUCAGUAGAAACUAAUGAAUUUGACGAAGAUGGUUAUUCUAAAGCAGACAAUGCAGCAACAGUCUUGGCAAGUGGAGUUGCCAGUAGCAUAAGUGUUAUACAUCUUCAAAGAUGUGCUGUCCACACUUUACAGCUAGCCGUAAAUGAUGCAUUAAAAGGCCCACAAUAAAAAUAUCUAAUUAA